RNAcentral lists this ribosomal RNA (497 nucleotides) under uncultured bacterium. Its description in RNAcentral is "partial 16S ribosomal RNA". It matches the Rfam family "Bacterial small subunit ribosomal RNA", at positions 28 to 507 of the family's 1533-position model. The record is from RNAcentral.
GAUGAACGCUGGCGGCGUGCCUAAUACAUGCAAGUCGAGCGAACGGACGAGAAGCUCGCUUCUCUGAUGUUAGCGGCGGACGGGUGAGUAACACGUGGAUAACCUACCUAUAAGACUGGGAUAACUUCGGGAAACCGUAGCUAAUACCGGAUAAUAUUUUGAACCGCAUGGUUCAAAAGUGAAAGACGGUCUUGCUGUCACUUAUAGAUGGAUCCGCGCUGCAUUAGCUAGUUGGUAAGGUAACGGCUUACCAAGGCAACGAUGCAUAGCCGGCCUGAGAGGGUGAUCGGCCACACUGGAACUGAGACACGGUCCAGACUCCUACGGGAGGCAGCAGUAGGGAAUCUUCCGCAAUGGGCGAAAGCCUGACGGAGCAACGCCGCGUGAGUGAUGAAGGUCUUCGGAUCGUAAAACUCUGUUAUUAGGGAAGAACAUAUGUGUAAGUAACUGUGCACAUCUUGACGGUACCUAAUCAGAAAGCCACGGCUAACUACGUG